Molecule: unclassified non-coding RNA, 357 nt
Filed under: soil metagenome
Description: partial contains 5.8S ribosomal RNA, internal transcribed spacer 2, and large subunit ribosomal RNA
Rfam family: 5.8S ribosomal RNA (bases 1-120)
Source: RNAcentral
GAUGAAGAACGUAGCGAAAUGCGAUAAGUAGUGUGAAUUGCAGAAUUCAGUGAAUCAUCGAAUCUUUGAACGCACAUUGCGCCCGUUAGCAUUCUAGCGGGCAUGCCUGUCCGAGCGUCAUUUCAACCCUCAGGGUCCCCGUUCCGGCGGGGAACCUGGUGUUGGGGAUCGGCCCGCCCCGCGCGGCGCCGUCCCCCAAAUUCAGUGGCGGUCUCGCUGCAGCCUCCCCUGCGUAGUAGUUACAACCUCGCAUCGGAGCUCAGCGCGGCCACGCCGUAAAACCCCCGACUUUCUGAACGUUGACCUCGGAUCAGGUAGGAAUACCCGCUGAACUUAAGCAUAUCAAUAAGCGGAGGA